AUACGUAGGGGGCGAGCGUUGUCCGGAAUGAUUGGGCGUAAAGGGCGCGUAGGCGGCCUGUUAAGUCUGGAGUGAAAGUCCUGUUUUCAAGAUGGGAAUUGCUUUGGAUACUGAUGGGCUUGAGUGCAGGAGAGGUUAUCGGAAUUCCCGGUGUAGCGGUGAAAUGCGUAGAGAUCGGGAGGAACACCAGUGGCGAAGGCGGGUACCUGGACAGCAACUGACGCUGAGGCUCGAAGGCGUGGGGAGCAGACAGGAUUAGAUACCCUGGUAGUCCACGCGGUAAACGAUGAUCACUAGGUGUUGGCACGCAUAGCGUGUCGGUGCCGCAGCAAACGCAAUAAGUGAUCCACCUGGGGAGUACGUUCGCAAGAAUGAAACUCAAAGGAAUUGACGGGG
This 396-nucleotide ribosomal RNA is filed under the name uncultured bacterium. RNAcentral's name for it is "partial 16S ribosomal RNA". It matches the Rfam family "Bacterial small subunit ribosomal RNA", at positions 523 to 918 of the family's 1533-position model. The record is from RNAcentral.